This 457-nucleotide long non-coding RNA is filed under the name Ananas comosus (pineapple). RNAcentral's name for it is "long non-coding RNA (ACOM_LNC014538)". The record is from RNAcentral. Lineage: Eukaryota; Viridiplantae; Streptophyta; Magnoliopsida; Poales; Bromeliaceae.
AAUUUUUUUUUCCCUUUUAGUUUUAUAUUUAUUAAAUAUCCAAUUAAUAUUCACAUCCAUUUGAUAUUUGAUUCUCACCCGAAAUCAUUUUUAUCGGAUAUCAAUUUAAAUUUUAGCGUCUGAUUAAUAGAGUCCAGCUAUUAUGCUAUCAAUAGCAUGAAGCACUCGAUACUACUAAGUUUUUUACUGUUAGAUCCACCCCUAUGAUCGUUUUCAUCUAUUAGAUCAUACUAUUCAACCAACCACCUACUCAACCCUAGAGAGCCCACAUCAUUUUAACCGCACAUCUCUCAAUCCAAUGGUCGAAAACUUGGUAACACCAAUGAUUUGGUGCUAUUAAUAGCAUAGUAGUCUAGUUCCUCGAAUUUGGAUACAGAUUCUACAUAAAAAUAUAAAUAUUGGUUCUGGUUUUCAGAAAAUAUUUUAGAAAAUAAUUUUUUAACUAAAAAGGUAAUUU